CCUACGGGAGGCAGCAGUGGGGAAUAUUGGACAAUGGGCGCAAGCCUGAUCCAGCAAUGCCGCGUGAGUGAUGAAGGCCUUAGGGUUGUAAAGCUCUUUUACCAGGGAUGAUAAUGACAGUACCUGGAGAAUAAGCUCCGGCUAACUCCGUGCCAGCAGCCGCGGUAAUACGGAGGGAGCUAGCGUUGUUCGGAAUUACUGGGCGUAAAGCGUACGUAGGCGGUUAUUCAAGUCAGAGGUGAAAGCCCGGGGCUCAACCCCGGAACUGCCUUUGAAACUAGGUAGCUAGAAUCUUGGAGAGGUCAGUGGAAUUCCGAGUGUAGAGGUGAAAUUCGUAGAUAUUCGGAAGAACACCAGUGGCGAAGGCGACUGACUGGACAAGUAUUGACGCUGAGGUACGAAAGCGUGGGGAGCAAACAGGAUUAGAUACCCUGGUAGUCCACGCCGUAAACGAUGAUAACUAGCUGUCCGGUCACUUGGUGACUGGGUGGCGCAGCUAACGCAUUAAGUUAUCCGCCUGGGGAGUACGGUCGCAAGNUUAAAACUCAAAGGAAAUUGACGGCUGAGAGNGCGAGAGACACAGGGAGGAGG
Molecule: ribosomal RNA, 591 nt
Filed under: uncultured bacterium
Lineage: Bacteria
Description: bacterial SSU rRNA
Rfam family: Bacterial small subunit ribosomal RNA
Source: RNAcentral